CUCGUAGGCGGCCAACUAAGUCGGAUGUGAAAUCCCCAGGCUCAACUUGGGAACUGCAUCCGAUACUGGAUGGCUUGAAUCCGGGAGAGGGAUGCAGAAUUCCAGGUGUAGCGGUGAAAUGCGUAGAUAUCUGGAGGAAUACCGGUGGCGAAGGCGGCAUCCUGGACCGGCAUUGACGCUGAUGAGCGAAAGCUAGGGGAGCAAACG
RNAcentral lists this ribosomal RNA (207 nucleotides) under uncultured bacterium. RNAcentral describes it as "partial 16S ribosomal RNA". It matches the Rfam family "Bacterial small subunit ribosomal RNA", at positions 568 to 774 of the family's 1533-position model. The record is from RNAcentral.